GACGAACGCCGGCGGCGUGCUUAACACAUGCAGGUCGAACGGAAAGGCUCCAGCUUGCUGGAGUACUCGAGUGGCGAACGGGUGAGUAACACGUGGGUAAUCUGCCCUGCACUCUGGGAUAAGCCUGGGAAACUGGGUCUAAUACUGGAUAUGACCUUUCUCCUUAUGGGGUUUGGUGGAAAGUUUUUCGGUGUAGGAUGAGCCCGCGGCCUAUCAGCUUGUUGGUGGGGUGAUGGCCUACCAAGGCGACGACGGGUAGCCGGCCUGAGAGGGUGAUCGGCCACAUUGGGACUGAGAUACGGCCCAGACUCCUACGGGAGGCAGCAGUGGGGAAUAUUGCACAAUGGGCGGAAGCCUGAUGCAGCGACGCCGCGUGAGGGAUGACGGCCUUCGGGUUGUAAACCUCUUUCGGCAGGGACGAAGCGUAAGUGACGGUACCUGCAGAAGAAGCACCGGCUAACUAUGU
This 466-nucleotide ribosomal RNA is filed under the name uncultured bacterium. RNAcentral's name for it is "partial 16S ribosomal RNA". It matches the Rfam family "Bacterial small subunit ribosomal RNA", at positions 28 to 506 of the family's 1533-position model. The record is from RNAcentral.